This 27-nucleotide small RNA is filed under the name Bombyx mori (domestic silkworm). Its description in RNAcentral is "ovarian small RNA-33604". The record is from RNAcentral. Lineage: Eukaryota; Metazoa; Arthropoda; Insecta; Lepidoptera; Bombycidae.
UGCAUUACAAUAACGGUGCUCGCUGCU